CGGGUCGAGAGGCGCUGCAACGGACCACGCCGGUCCGCCACGCUCGAUCCGUAGUCCAGUAGAGCUGUAAGGGCGCCUCCCAUGA
Molecule: non-coding RNA, 85 nt
Filed under: Actinophytocola xinjiangensis
Lineage: Bacteria; Bacillati; Actinomycetota; Actinomycetes; Pseudonocardiales; Pseudonocardiaceae
Description: SAH sequence
Rfam family: SAH (S-adenosyl-L-homocysteine) riboswitch aptamer
Source: Rfam by way of RNAcentral